This 505-nucleotide ribosomal RNA is filed under the name uncultured bacterium. Its description in RNAcentral is "partial 16S ribosomal RNA". It matches the Rfam family "Bacterial small subunit ribosomal RNA", at positions 28 to 507 of the family's 1533-position model. The record is from RNAcentral.
GACGAACGCUGGCGGCGUGCCUAAUACAUGCAAGUAGAACGCACAGGAUGCACCGUAGUUUACUACACCGUAUUCUGUGAGUUGCGAACGGGUGAGUAACGCGUAGGUAACCUGCCUGGUAGCGGGGGAUAACUAUUGGAAACGAUAGCUAAUACCGCAUAAGAACAUUUACUGCAUGGUAGAUGUUUAAAAGGUGCAAAUGCAUCACUACCAGAUGGACCUGCGUUGUAUUAGCUAGUAGGUGAGGUAACGGCUCACCUAGGCGACGAUACAUAGCCGACCUGAGAGGGUGAUCGGCCACACUGGGACUGAGACACGGCCCAGACUCCUUCGGGAGGCAGCAGUAGGGAAUCUUCGGCAAUGGGGGGAACCCUGACCGAGCAACGCCGCGUGAGUGAAGAAGGUUUUCGGAUCGUAAAGCUCUGUUGUUAAGGAAGAACGAGUGUGAGAAUGGAAAGUUCAUACUGUGACGGUACUUAACCAGAAAGGGACGGCUAACUACGUG